UACGUAGGGUGCGAGCGUUAAUCGGAAUUACUGGGCGUAAAGCGUGCGCAGGCGGUUUUGCAAGCCGGAUGUGAAAUCCCCGGGCUUAACCUGGGAAUGGCAUUUGGGACUGCAAGGCUGGAGUGCGGCAGAGGAGACUGGAAUUCCUGGUGUAGCAGUGAAAUGCGUAGAUAUCAGGAGGAACACCGGUGGCGAAGGCGGCAUCCUGGACCACGACUGACACUGAAAAGCGAAAGCCAGGGGAGCAAACGGG
RNAcentral lists this ribosomal RNA (253 nucleotides) under uncultured bacterium. RNAcentral describes it as "partial 16S ribosomal RNA". It matches the Rfam family "Bacterial small subunit ribosomal RNA", at positions 524 to 776 of the family's 1533-position model. The record is from RNAcentral.